CCUACGGGUGGCUGCAGUGGGGAAUAUUGGUCAAUGGGCGCAAGCCUGACCCAGCAAUGUCGCGUGAAGGAAGACGGCUCUCUGGUUGGUAACCUCUUUGUCAGGGGAAGAGCAGAAGUCGAUACGUUGAAAACAAGCCACGGCUAACUACGUGCCAGCAGCCGGCGUCAUACGAGGGUGGCAGGCGUUGUCCGGGAUUACUGGGUUAAAAUGGUGGGUAGCCGGGAAGGCAAGUGAGGUGGGAAAUCCGGGGGCUCAAACUCCGAAUUGCAUUUGAAACUGUUGUUCUUGAGUACUGGAGAGGUAGACGGAAUUCGUUGUGUAGCGGUGAAAUGCGUAGAUAUAAGGAGGAACACCGGUGGCGAAGGCAGUCUGCUGGACUGCAACUGACGGUGAGGCGCGAAAGCGUGGGGAGCAAACAGGAUUAGAUACCCGUGUAGUC
RNAcentral lists this ribosomal RNA (442 nucleotides) under uncultured bacterium. Its description in RNAcentral is "partial 16S ribosomal RNA". It matches the Rfam family "Bacterial small subunit ribosomal RNA", at positions 338 to 795 of the family's 1533-position model. The record is from RNAcentral.